Molecule: ribosomal RNA, 427 nt
Filed under: uncultured bacterium
Lineage: Bacteria
Description: partial 16S ribosomal RNA
Rfam family: Bacterial small subunit ribosomal RNA
Source: RNAcentral
UGGGGAAUAUUGCACAAUGGGCGCAAGCCUGAUGCAGCCAUGCCGCGUGUGUGAAGAAGGCCUUCGGGUUGUAAAGCACUUUCAGCGAGGAGGAAGGGUAGUGUGUUAAUAGCACAUUGCAUUGACGUUACUCGCAGAAGAAGCACCGGCUAACUCCGUGCCAGCAGCCGCGGUAAUACGGAGGGUGCAAGCGUUAAUCGGAAUUACUGGGCGUAAAGCGCACGCAGGCGGUUUGUUAAGUCAGAUGUGAAAUCCCCGCGCUUAACAUGGGAACUGCAUUUGAAACUGGCAAGCUAGAGUCUUGUAGAGGGGGGUAGAAUUCCAGGUGUAGCGGUGAAAUGCGUAGAGAUCUGGAGGAAUACCGGUGGCGAAGGCGGCCCCCUGGACAAAGACUGACGCUCAGGUGCGAAAGCGUGGGGAGCAAACA